AGGUUCGUGGUUCGCAAUUAUCCCACACAAAAAAACUAAGGAGGU
This 45-nucleotide non-coding RNA is filed under the name Pediococcus cellicola. RNAcentral's name for it is "PreQ1 (pre queuosine) riboswitch aptamer". It matches the Rfam family "PreQ1 (pre queuosine) riboswitch aptamer". From Rfam's summary of the family: This family is a bacterial riboswitch that binds to the metabolite preQ1, an intermediate in the biosynthesis of the modified nucleoside queuosine from GTP. One example of this riboswitch is located in the leader of the Bacillus subtilis ykvJKLM (queCDEF) operon which encodes four genes necessary for queuosine production. PreQ1 binding to the riboswitch aptamer is thought to induce premature transcription termination within the leader to down-regulate expression of these genes. The record is from Rfam by way of RNAcentral. Lineage: Bacteria; Bacillati; Bacillota; Bacilli; Lactobacillales; Lactobacillaceae.